ACGACAGGGAUUGCCCUAGUAACGGCGAGUGAAGCGGCAACAGCUCAAAUUUGAAAUCUGGCCCUCGGGGCCUAGUAGUUAUUUGUAGAGGAUGGUUUUGAUGCGGUGGCUUCCUAGUUCCCUGGAACGGGACGCCAUAUAGGGUGAGAGCCCCGUCCGGUUGGAUGCCAUGCCUCUGUCAAGGUCCUUCGACUACUCAAGUACUUUGGGAAUGCUGCUCUAAAUGGGAGGGAUAUGUCUUCUCAAGCUAAAUAUUGGCCAUAGACCGAUAGCGCACAAGUACAGUGAUCGAGAGAUGAAAAGCACUUUGAAUUUAGAGUUAAAUAGAACGUGAAAUUGUUGAUGGGGAAGCGUUUGGGACCGAACUUGGACUUGGUUUAUCGUCAGGCGUUCUCCCCGGUGCACUUUGCCAGUCCAGGGCCGGGCCCGGUUUCUGUUGGGGGAUAGAAUUUGGGGAAUGAAUGUCCCUCGGCAACGGUGAAGUGUCGUUGCCUGCACCUUGCGGGGAGCCAAGACCGAGGAUUGCGAUUGAAUCUGGGAUGAUGGUUGACUGAUACCCCACCUUGAACCUUGAACCACGGACCAAACAUUCUAACGACUGUUUGAGUGUUUAGCCCUCACACCCAUUGAAAUAGAGCGGAUGAGAGAGCUUAGGGGUCUCUUGACCGAACCAUCAUGCUAUCGUGAGAUCUUCGUAAGAAUUAGAGUAACAGCACCGCUACUAAGAUGGAUAGAUGUUGAUCUAUAGAGGAAUGAGGAAAGUCCGCUGAAGCUCGCGCGCAGUCUCAUAGACGAUUCAGAUCGGCAAUCUAUCGUGAAUGCGAACGAAUGAGCGAACGAUUAUCAAUCGUUUCUUACCACUUCUGCCCGAAAAAAC
This 877-nucleotide ribosomal RNA is filed under the name Sordariomycetes sp. RNAcentral describes it as "partial large subunit ribosomal RNA". It matches the Rfam family "Eukaryotic large subunit ribosomal RNA", at positions 65 to 970 of the family's 3401-position model. Lineage: Eukaryota; Fungi; Ascomycota; Sordariomycetes. The record is from RNAcentral.